GUAGGGGGCUAGCGUUAUCCGGAAUUACUGGGCGUAAAGGGUGCGUAGGUGGUUUCUUAAGUCAGAGGUGAAAGGCUACGGCUCAACCGUAGUAAGCCUUUGAAACUGGGAAACUUGAGUGCAGGAGAGGAGAGUGGAAUUCCUAGUGUAGCGGUGAAAUGCGUAGAUAUUGGGAGGAACAUCAGUGGCGAAGGCGGCUUACUGGGCUUUAACUGACGCUGAGGCUCGAAAGCGUGGGGAGCAAACAGGAUUAGAUACCCUGGUAGUCCACGCCGUAAACGAUGAUUACUAGGUGUGGGGGGACUGACCCCUUCCGUGCCGCAGCNAACGCAAUAAGUAAUCCACCCGGGGAGU
This 354-nucleotide ribosomal RNA is filed under the name uncultured bacterium. RNAcentral's name for it is "bacterial SSU rRNA". It matches the Rfam family "Bacterial small subunit ribosomal RNA", at positions 527 to 881 of the family's 1533-position model. The record is from RNAcentral.